This 194-nucleotide ribosomal RNA is filed under the name uncultured bacterium. RNAcentral's name for it is "partial 16S ribosomal RNA". It matches the Rfam family "Bacterial small subunit ribosomal RNA", at positions 338 to 524 of the family's 1533-position model. The record is from RNAcentral.
CCUACGGGAGGCAGCAGUAGGGAAUCUUCGGCAAUGGACGGAAGUCUGACCGAGCGAUGCCGCGUGAGCGAAGAAGGUCUUCGGAUCGUAAAGCUCUGUUAUGAGGGAAGAAGGACGUAGGCAGGCAAUGGCCUACGGGUGACGGUACCUCAUGAGGAAGCCACGGCUAACUACGUGCCAGCAGCCGCGGUAAU